CUCUAUACAUGCAAGUCGAGCGGACCGACGGGAGCUUGCUCCCUUAGGUCAGCGGCGGACGGGUGAGUAACACGUGGGUAACCUGCCUGUAAGACUGGGAUAACUCCGGGAAACCGGGGCUAAUACCGGAUGCUUGAUUGAACCGCAUGGUUCAAUCAUAAAAGGUGGCUUUUAGCUACCACUUNCAGAUGGACCCGCGGCGCAUUAGCUAGUUGGUGAGGUAACGGCUCACCAAGGCGACGAUGCGUAGCCGACCUGAGAGGGUGAUCGGCCACACUGGGACUGAGACACGGCCCAGACUCCUACGGGAGGCAGCAGUAGGGAAUCUUCCGCAAUGGACGAAAGUCUGACGGAGCAACGCCGCGUGAGUGAUGAAGGUUUUCGGAUCGUAAAACUCUGUUGUUAGGGAAGAACAAGUACCGUUCGAAUAGGGCGGUACCUUGACGGUACCUAACCAGAAAGCCACGGCUAACUACGUGCCAGCAGCCGCGGUAAUACGUANGUGGCAAGCGUUGUCCGGAAUUAUUGGGCGUAAAGCGCGCGCAGGCGGUUUCUUAAGUCUGAUGUGAAAGCCCCCGGCUCAACCGGGGAGGGUCAUUGGAAACUGGGGAACUUGAGUGCAGAAGAGGAGAGUGGAAUUCCACGUGUAGCGGUGAAAUGCGUAGAGAUGUGGAGGAACACCAGUGGCGAAG
This 692-nucleotide ribosomal RNA is filed under the name Bacillus licheniformis. RNAcentral describes it as "bacterial SSU rRNA". It matches the Rfam family "Bacterial small subunit ribosomal RNA", at positions 47 to 720 of the family's 1533-position model. The record is from RNAcentral. Lineage: Bacteria; Bacillati; Bacillota; Bacilli; Caryophanales; Bacillaceae.